This 21-nucleotide non-coding RNA is filed under the name Caenorhabditis elegans. The record is from RNAcentral. Lineage: Eukaryota; Metazoa; Nematoda; Chromadorea; Rhabditida; Rhabditidae.
UCAAAAGAAAUUAGAAAGAAA